GUAACAAAUCACUGAGCAUUACUUGAAAAUAUUACAAAACGUCACCAAAAAAAUGUACAUAUCUAAAUAUGUAACUACUAUAAUUCAGAGAUUUAUUUUGACCAGUUGUUUAAACAAUUAUAUUUGCAAAUGGUUAUUUACGUAAAUUAUCUACAAAAUGUCAAAUACUAUAUCAAUUAAUCUUGUAUUUUAUAUAAGACAUUUAAAUUUUAUAUAACUCAGCACAUAAAAUUAUUUAAUUCUGUUUAAAUUCAUAUGAAUAUAAAGAAAAAUAAAAGUUUAAUUGAUUCAAAGCAAAAUAAUGGAGACGAUAGCACGUCUUUUUUAAUGAAGUGGGAGCAAUGGGAGCAUUUUUCUUCGUUGUUAGGCAAUGGUUUUUGUACAUUUCAAGGUGUUCGAUUUUUAUAGAAAUAUUUAUUAUAGAAGGAAUUUCAUUGAUUUCUUUAGGCAGGGAUUAAUGAGGUACUUUUGGGUUUUCAGCUUAUAAGUUUCUUGUAAUACGAUACACGUUUUAUUGAGAAUUUAUACAGGCUGUGUGGUGCUUGCCUGAUACCAUUUGCAAUAUUUUUUUAUUUCAUACUAUAGAAAACUGUAAAACUUAUACAAAUAUGUACAUAUAUACUCAGUAAGAAAACGGAAUAUCAAAGAAAACUGAUAUGGUAACUUAUAAUUGAUCAGUUGCACGCGAUAAGAUUACAUUCUGUCGUUAGAUUAGCAACAACAUGACACAAUUUUUUUUGUCGCUUUUAUAGUGAACUGCAAAAUAAUUUUUUAUUAUGGUCUCAAUUGGUAAUUUUUUGAUCUUUGGUGUAUCAGAUUUGAAUCAUAUCUUGAGCAGUAAUGACGUCAACACAGCAAAUUGUGUGUUAAAUAUAAACUUUUCGAGGAGAGUAUUUUAGAGAAACACAAAACGACACAGGGCGCCUCUGAAGUACAUUUUUUCGCUCAGUAGAUAUUUUAUUUGCCUAACACAAAGUUAUACUACGAUAAACAUACAUAUGUACAUAUAUUGGCGUAUUAUAUUUUUACCUGCAUAUGACAAAUUUCUUUGAAAUGACUAUCUUUAUCUUUCGUUAUAUUUCACUUCCCCCUUUUGCGUAUGUUUUCGCCAACGGUGUUAAGGGUUAGACUUUAAUACUUUCUUUUGUUGAAAUUUCUUCAACUUGCGGGUUUGAAAUGAUGAAUCAUGUGUUUGAACAGAAGUUUGGUUGCUUGGGCUUUUCGCGCGUUGUGCUCAAGUACACAUUUGUAAGCAAUUACUAAACUCGAUUGUGAUUCAAUCGAUUGCCAUGUUACCUCAAGCUAGAGACGGAUGUCUCAUGUCUUAUGUGACAUGUAGCCAUAUAAGGCAGUCGUUAUAAAUCAAAAGUUUGAUGCAAAGUUAUUUGUUCAAGAUCAUGAUCAAGAUCAAGAAGCCUUCUGCUUGUUUCUUACUCACACGGUUGGCCUCUUGACAGGUUACAACCUAUUGGGAUCAAUGCAAGCCGAAUGGGCAUAAAUGUUAAUACAUGCAGAAAGUAGAGAAGUUGACAUGACAGAGACGCUGAAACACCUCCUAUGUCUGCGUCCAACACUGUGUACCUUGGAAUUAUGGCGAAACUUAAGUAAACUGAGUCUACAUCAGGCAUUAAGGACUUGUAGGUCUAUGUAUGGCGUGAUUGCCGGCCAGUAUAACCUAAUGUAUUUGUUCAUUUUAGAAAGUUGUACAGCGAUGUUCUCGACUUAAUAAGGACUGGAUUUUGUGUUAUCUGUACUUGCCUGCCCAUUCAUCUGUGUUCUUGCUGUUUGCUCGCAAUUUCCUACGCAAAAAUGCUCUUGAUAAAAACUCAAAUAAAGAUUCUAUGUACUGAUAACUGUA
This 1858-nucleotide long non-coding RNA is filed under the name Bactrocera latifrons. RNAcentral describes it as "uncharacterized LOC108975350". Lineage: Eukaryota; Metazoa; Arthropoda; Insecta; Diptera; Tephritidae. The record is from RNAcentral.